GAUGAACGCUGGCGGCGUGCCUAAUACAUGCAAGUCGAGCGAACAGACGAGGAGCUUGCUCCUCUGACGUUAGCGGCGGACGGGUGAGUAACACGUGGAUAACCUACCUAUAAGACUGGGAUAACUUCGGGAAACCGGAGCUAAUACCGGAUAAUAUAUUGAACCGCAUGGUUCAAUAGUGAAAGACGGUUUUGCUGUCACUUAUAGAUGGAUCCGCGCCGCAUUAGCUAGUUGGUAAGGUAACGGCUUACCAAGGCAACGAUGCGUAGCCGACCUGAGAGGGUGAUCGGCCACACUGGAACUGAGACACGGUCCAGACUCCUACGGGAGGCAGCAGUAGGGAAUCUUCCGCAAUGGGCGAAAGCUUGACGGAGCAACGCCGCGUGAGUGAUGAAGGUCUUCGGAGCGUAAAACUCUGUUAUUAGGGAAGAACAAAUGUGUAAGUAACUAUGCACGUCUUGACGGUACCUAAUCAGAAAGCCACGGCUAACUACGUG
RNAcentral lists this ribosomal RNA (497 nucleotides) under uncultured bacterium. RNAcentral describes it as "partial 16S ribosomal RNA". It matches the Rfam family "Bacterial small subunit ribosomal RNA", at positions 28 to 507 of the family's 1533-position model. The record is from RNAcentral.